CCUACGGGGGGCAGCAGUAGGGAAUAUUGCUCAAUGGGGGAAACCCUGCAGCAGCAACGCCGCGUGGAGGAUGAAGGUUUUCGGAUUGUAAACUCCUUUUGUUAGAGAAGAUAAUGACGGUAUCUAACGAAUAAGCACCGGCUAACUCCGUGCCAGCAGCCGCGGUAAUACGGAGGGUGCAAGCGUUACUCGGAAUCACUGGGCGUAAAGCGCGCGUAGGCGGGAUAGCAAGUCAGAUGUGAAAUCCUAUGGCUUAACCAUAGAACUGCAUUUGAAACUGUUAUUCUAGAGUAUGGGAGAGGUAGGUGGAAUUCUUGGUGUAGGGGUAAAAUCCGUAGAGAUCAAGAGGAAUACUCAUUGCGAAGGCGACCUGCUAGAACAUAACUGACGCGGAUGCGCGAAAGCGUGGGGAGCAAACAGGAUUAGAUACCCCAGUAGUC
Molecule: ribosomal RNA, 440 nt
Filed under: uncultured bacterium
Lineage: Bacteria
Description: partial 16S ribosomal RNA
Rfam family: Bacterial small subunit ribosomal RNA
Source: RNAcentral